This 391-nucleotide unclassified non-coding RNA is filed under the name soil metagenome. Its description in RNAcentral is "partial contains 5.8S ribosomal RNA, internal transcribed spacer 2, and large subunit ribosomal RNA". The stretch from base 1 to 122 matches the Rfam family "5.8S ribosomal RNA", at positions 35 to 154 of the family's 154-position model. The record is from RNAcentral.
GAUGAAGAACGUAGCGAAAUGCGAUACUUGGUGUGAAUUGCAGAAUCCCGUGAACCAUCGAGUCUUUGAACGCAAGUUGCGCCCGAAGCCAUUAGGCCGAGGGCACGCCUGCCUGGGCGUCACACGUCGUUGCCCCCCCAUCUACUCCUUCGGGAUUGCGGGGGGCGGAUGAUGGCCUCUCGUGCGCCUCGUCGCGCGGUUGGCCUAAAUGCCAAGUCCUCGGCGACGCACGCCACGACAAUCGGUGGUUGCGAAACCUCGGUUGCCCGUCGUGUGCGGUCGUCGCGCAUCGAGGGCUCGAAAAAAUUGCCGGGCUCCGGCUCGGCUUUCAACGCGACCCCAGGUCAGGCGGGGUUACCCGCUGAAUUUAAGCAUAUCAAUAAGCGGAGGA